AUUCCUACGGGAGGCAGCAGUGGGGAAUAUUGCACAAUGGAGGAAACUCUGAUGCAGCGACGCCGCGUGAAUGAUGAAGGCCUUCGGGUCGUAAAGUUCUGUCCUUGGGGAAGAUAAUGACGGUACCCAAGGAGGAAGCCCCGGCUAACUACGUGCCAGCAGCCGCGGUAAUACGUAGGGGGCGAGCGUUGUCCGGAAUUAUUGGGCGUAAAGGGUUCGCAGGCGGUCUGAUAAGUCAGAUGUGAAAGGCUAUGGCUUAACCAUAGUAAGCAUUUGAAACUGUCAGACUUGAGUUAAGGAGAGGAAAGUGGAAUUCCUAGUGUAGCGGUGAAAUGCGUAGAUAUUAGGAGGAAUACCAGUGGCGAAGGCGACUUUCUGGACUUAAACUGACGCUGAGGAACGAAAGCGUGGGGAGCAAACAGGAUUAGAUACCCUGGUAGUCCACGCCGUAAACGAUGAGUGCUAGGUGUUGGGGGUCAAACCUCGGUGCCGCAGCUAACGCAUUAAGCACUCCGCCUGGGGAGUACGUACGCAAGUAUGAAACUCAAAGGAAUUGACGGAAU
RNAcentral lists this ribosomal RNA (563 nucleotides) under uncultured bacterium. RNAcentral's name for it is "bacterial SSU rRNA". It matches the Rfam family "Bacterial small subunit ribosomal RNA", at positions 335 to 919 of the family's 1533-position model. The record is from RNAcentral.